This 505-nucleotide ribosomal RNA is filed under the name uncultured bacterium. RNAcentral's name for it is "partial 16S ribosomal RNA". It matches the Rfam family "Bacterial small subunit ribosomal RNA", at positions 899 to 1397 of the family's 1533-position model. The record is from RNAcentral.
ACUCAAAUGAAUAGACGGGGGCUCGCACAAGCGGUGGAGCAUGUGGUUCAAUUCGAAGCAACGCGAAGAACCUUACCCGGGCUUGACAUGUAUGUAGUAGGAACCUGAAAGGGGGACGACCCGUAGAGUCGGGAGCAUACACAGGUGUUGCAUGGCUGUCGUCAGCUCGUGUCGUGAGAUGUCGGGUUAAGUCCCAUAACGAGCGAAACCCUUGUCCUUAGUUGCCAACGGGUCAUGCCGGGGACUCUAAGGAGACUGCCCGUGUUAAACGGGAGGAAGGCGGGGAUGACGUCAAGUCAUCAUGGCCCUUAUGUCCGGGGCGACACACGUGCCACAAUGGAGGGUACAAAGGGUUGCCAACCCGCAAGGGGGAGCCAAUCCCAAAAAGCCCUUCUCAGUUCGGAUUGCAGGCUGCAAUUCGCCUGCAUGAAGCUGGAAUCGCUAGUAAUCGCGGAUCAGCUACGCCGCGGUGAAUAUGUUCCCGAGCCUUGUACACACCGCCCGU